RNAcentral lists this long non-coding RNA (302 nucleotides) under Gadus morhua (Atlantic cod). RNAcentral's name for it is "lncRNA (ENSGMOG00000036769.1)". Lineage: Eukaryota; Metazoa; Chordata; Actinopteri; Gadiformes; Gadidae. The record is from RNAcentral.
CUCCCCGCGAUUUAUAUUGAUUGAGUCUACAACGUUCUCAAAGAUUCAGCCAAUGAGAGGUAGCAAUGGUGUUGCAAUGGCACCUGGGUAAACAAAUGACAAGGCGGUACCGUCGAAUAUGCGCGCUUUCUCUGUCUGACGUAUCUUGGGUCAUACCAUUCGACGUGGGGCCACUCAUAUAUCCCCCUACAUUUUUUCAGGAGUCUUUGCUCCAUUCUACGUCAAUUUAAGAACAAACAAAGAAAUUAAACUGCAGUUCGUAUUUUUUAUUUAUGACCAUGAAAGUUCUGUAAUGCCUGAAU